AAAGAAAACAACAGAAGGCUUAACAUGCAACUCUAGGAAUGCCAGGUAUGUAGUCAUAAAAUCGAAUAAUUUCAGAGCAAGGAGAGCCUCAGAUGAGCCGCUAAUCAUCUCCAUGGCCUGAAACAAAGGAGCCAUGUUAGGACACAACAAGAAAAUGGUCCAUCAAGCCAGGGAAAUAGGUCUCACCAGACACCAACCCUGUUGGCUCUUCCAACUUGGACUUCCAGCCUCCAGAACGCGAAGAGAUCUGAAGAGUCCGUUCCUCUGAACAUCAGUUUUUCAUCUAUAAAAAGAGAAUGAAAGUACAUGGUCUGGCCACCUCCCAGGAUUGUUAUAAGGAUCAAAUGAGAUCAUAAUCUAUGUGAAAGUACUGUUGGUGCCGGUGAUGUUAUUUAACACUCAGCUGGACUAUUUUGUUGAUGAGGAGACUGAAAUUCAGGGAGGCGACCUCAGCUGCAGCAAAGAAAUAAACGGCAGAAGUGGGAUUUACAGAAGGGCCGUGUGACGCUCAGAGUCCAUGGUCAUGCCAGCGCUGCGACACAGUCCUAGCCCUGGAGGAUGAGCAGUCCUCUUCUCGAUCUACACAAGACAUUACUACAGCGUCUUCAUGCACCCCAAGCCAUGAACACCACCACCCCCAAAGUUAGGUCUGUCCUGUGCCAUAACUUUGCCCUGCCUCCUCUUCUCUGCCUUAUUCUCUUGGACAGCAGGAGGGCUGGCCCCAACCCCAAUCUGAGCUUGCUUGAUCCUAGCCGGCUUCCUGCCAAGAGCUCAGCCCCCUGCUCCCCCAGAGCUCGGGUCUCUCCUGCCUGACUUGGAGGCAGCAUGGAGCAGUACAGAAGGGCUUAUACACAGGCUCUCUUCUAUGUGGCCCAGUUUCCUUAUCUAUGAAAUGGAGGUAAUACUAUCUCCUCCUAAGGUUGAAUGAAAUCAUCUAUGUCAAGUGCUCAGCACAGGGCAUGUCUCCUGAGGUGGGGGAGGGGGAAGCUCCCAUCUGCCUGUAUCCCUCAAGACUGCACUUAGACCACCCUCCCUGCAGAGCCUUGGAGAGUCACUUGGAUUUGUAAGCUCCUUGGAUGCUGUACACUGCCAGGUCCAGGGUCACGUCUGAAACCAAGCCAGUUUCUUCAGUCCACAUCCUAUCAUCCAAGGGGGCAGGGUUCUACUUUUCCUCCUGACAACCUUGGCUGAGAUCCCAGCAUGCCCACUCCUGUUGCCACACUUCAGCACAGGACCACUCAACAGAAUUUUCUGGGGUGAUGGAACUGUUCUAGAUCUGUGCUGCCCAAAAUGGAAGCCAGUGGCCACGAGUGGCUAUUGAGAAGUUGAAAUGUGGUAAGUAUGACUAAGGAAUAGAAAUUUAUAACCAUUUUUUCAUUGUUUCUUUAUUUAUUUUGACAGAGAGAGAGCAUGAGCAGGGGUGGGGCAGAGAGAGAAGGAGAGAGAAAAUCCCAAGCAGGCUCCCUACCAUCAGUGCAGAGCUCAACGCAGGGCUAGAACGCAUGAACCAUGAGAUCAUGACCUGAGCUGAAACCAAGAAUUGGACGCUUAGCUGACUGAGCCACCCAGGCACCCAUAACUAUUUUUAAUUAAUUUUAAUUUAAAUCGCCACAUGUGGCUGUGGCUAAUGACUAUCAUAUUGGACGGUGCAGGUGUAAUGCACGUACAACCAGGUGCUCUCCCUGUGUCUCUGCUGCCAGACAGCACUUCACCUCACGUAGCGUUGCUUAGCCACUCACGGUCAAGUCCAGCCCCACAAGUAACUCACCACACACCCACUGGUUCCUAUAGAUGAGCCUGUAUUUGCGUCGAGUGCAUCUGCCUCUGCCCGGAGAAACCCACCUCCCAGGUACAACCCUUUCAGGGGUCACUGGAAGGUGAAGAGGAAACAGACAAGCAACCCAGCAGUGGGACUGCAGCAGCCAGAGCUGGGAAGGGGUGUAUAUAAUUACAUAUCCCAGAGCCGGAGAGGAUUAGAAGUGCUACAGAAGUGAAUGUCAGGCAACAUGAUAUUCCACAGGUGUGAAAGUAGCAUUUCUAUAGGGUUGGCCAACACUCUCUAAAUCAAAAAUAUCUGCUGCCGAAGGAAAAAAAAUAAUAAAGGUGAAGUGAAUCAUAAACUAGAAUAAAAUGGGAUAGGAAAGAUCAUAUAGGGUAGUCAAGCCCGUAGACCAUACCUACAAACCUGACUGCCCAUACACUGCCCUAAAAGUUAGAUCCAUUAUCAAAGAAACAUGUGAUUUAAGUCAAAAAGACACUGGAAAGAAGCAAAAUAGAUUUUACAGGUGAGGAAACUGAGGCUUCAAAAGUUUAUUUACUCAAGUUCAGGCAGUUUAUAAGACUUUAAACCAAAUAAUGAUACCAGGGAGCUGUGUAUCACUUCAUCUUCAGUGACCCGGGAUUCACAAGAGGGGUGAGCAAGCACAUAGCAGAAGAGGUUGUUUUAAUGACCCAGACAUCAAGCAAACACGGAAAGGAACAAAAAUCAAAGCAGUUUCAGUACCUACCUAAUGCAUGUAUGGGAUCCAAGAGCAGAAAUGGGAAUGGGGAUCUGAUUUAAGGAUCAAGAAGAUGGGUUGAGUUUUGAUGUGUUAACUGUAUGCUGCAGUGAGAUAACCAAGUGAAAAUGAUCAAAAGUCAACUGGAGGGAGGCCUGGGUGGCUCAGUCACUUAAGGAUCCCAGUCUUGAUUUGAUCUCACCGUUUAUGAGUUCAAGCCCCACAUCAGGCUCUGUGCUGAUGAUACCCAGCUUGCUUGGGAUCGUCUCUCUCUUUCUCUCUCUCUCGGCCCCUCCCCUGCCCAUACGUGUGUGCUCUCUCUCUCUCAAAGUAAAUAAAUAAAUUUUUAUAAAAAGUCAACUAGAGAUACAGGAUUAAAACUGUGGAGAGUUUAAGGCUGGGGAUAAAAAUAUAAAUUGGGCGACUGUUGCAAAGUGAACAAAAUCUCAAAAGAAUAGAACAUUAAGAGAAAGCAGCAAUACCCAAAGUAUCACCAGACAGAAGACAUGGACAGAAUACAGACAUUAAUUGUACAGCAGGUGUCACUUCGCCAGGAGUUGCGCCAGUCAUCAUUACACCUAACCACCCACACAACAAACUUGUUGGAGAAGAGAUAUGAGCGCAAACAUUUGUCGUUUGCCUCCCAACAUCUAUUUUCUCUUUCUCUAACAACACCCAACAGCUCCACUAUGGGGUGCGCUCCUCCCACGUUCAGUCGAAGGCAUCCAGGGCAGCUCCGUUUCCGCAAGUGUGGAUCAUGUGAUCUAGCCUAAGCCAAUCAGCGCCUCUCACUCCCUUACGCUUAGUGAUUGGUUCAGUCACAGGUGCAAGACCCAAUCAGCUUCAGGGAGACCCAGUGAGGCUGCGGGGAAUGCUGGGACAGAGGCGGACAGGCUUUCCUUGGGACGACAAAGCGGAGGUGUGUAAGGUAUGGACCACCUACAGGCAGCUCGCUACCACCUGAAGUCUGAGGAUGGAGUCAAAACUGGAGAAUCAAAAGGGGGCAAAAGAAAUCGGGUCCUGGGAUGGCCUUUUAGUCACUAAUAGAAAUAUGCCUAAAAGGGGAAUCUGCAGCCUUUCCACUUACUGUGAGCCACUAAAUUCUGUUUGGGAUGAAUUCCCUCACCUUUGCAACAGAAGGAUUCCGGCCUGAUGCAGAAAUGAUCCCUGUUUUCUAGCUGAGGUAAACAAGGCUCCAAAAGAUCAGCUAAGUUGUACAAGUUUACAGGUUUAUUAAUAACCAACCCAAGAUCCGGAGUCACUUCUUCACUUCAGCUUGCUAAAAGGAGCUGCUGGGGGAACACAAACUGGGUUUGUAACUGACUACAACGUGACAAACGUGAAAAGACAAAGACACACCAGAAAGACAGGCAUGAAGCAAAAGAGUGGAGAACACUGGAAAUGGCUCAAGAUUCAGUGUAACAAGAUUCAGUGAUUUACAUACAUUAACUCAUCUCAUGGUCACAACCACCCGUGAUUUAGGUACAAUUCAUAGUCCCAUUUACCCUGGAGAAACCAGAUCGUAAGAGGUUAAGUGACUUGCCAAAUUCACAUAAAUUUUGUGAGGUAGAAUUAAGAUUCGAAUGCAGUAUGUGGCACUUGACCACCAGGCUUUACUUCCACUCAAGUCCAUCCGUGUUUGACUUAGAACCUACCUGUCUUAUGUGGGCUAUAAUAAAAAACGUGUUAGAGACAGGAAUGUAAGUAGGUAUGGCCUUUGGAGGCAACUCAGCAGUAUCUGUCAAAAUUUUAAACACUCGCCCCUUGUAAUCUGGCAAUUCCAUUUUUUGGCAUCCAUCCUAGCGGAGAACUUGCAGAUAUGGACGACAAGACACACACAGAACACUCGAGCAGCACUGCUUUUGAAAGAGGGAAACUGAAAAGAGUCUAAAUGUCCAUCGACACUAGACUUCUUAAAAUAAUUCUGGCAUAUCCACGCAAUGGAUUACCGUCAAGUCAUUAUAAAGAACAAGGUCAAUUUCUACGUGUGGUAUGGGAAAUUCUCUAAGGUACAGGGUUACGCAAAAAAGGGCAAAUUGCAGAAUGCUACGUACAGAAUGAGGCAGGUAUUUAAACAUUUAGGUUUCAAACAACAUAAAACAAAACAGUACUUUUGUACAUGAAGCAAGGCUCCGUGGCAAUUAGCUGUGGGGAUUUCUGGGUUUAAUGAUGGUUAAUGAUGGUCCCAAGAGACUCCUAAGAGGCCAGGUAGUAGAUGUUACAAUUAGUCACCAGGAGCAAAGAGAGUCACUGGCAUGCUUGGAGCAUAGGAAAAUGCCCCCCUGUAUCCAAGAUGCUAGAGAUACUAGAAGAAUGUCCUGCAAGAUAUCAUGGAGGCAAAUCAAGAAGGACUUCUGGAGAUGUGGCAUGGAAUACGACAUAAUGAUAACCCCCACCCUGGCCUUUUCUCCUGACUAUUCAAAAGGUUGUCCUCAUCCUACAGAGAGCUGCCCCAAUAGUCAUUUAAAGUCACCCAGCCAGUUAGGAACUGAGGUGGCCCCAGACACCGGAUGGAUGUCCUGGGUUAAGUCCAGAGAUGUUCCAUUCUCAAUGUGGUCAACUCUGGAUCGUUGAUCUUUCAGUUGCUUUCCAAGUGUUUUCAAAGAGUGUCUUGAUCUCCAGGCACAAACUGUACAAACAAACUAGGGACAGGUCACCAGACUCCAGAGCUCCCCCAAGACAGGCCCAAAGAGAGCACAUGUGUUGUUCUGCAUGCUCACCUAAAGUUCUUCAUGGGCUUUUUAUUUAAAUUCUGGGUCUUUUUCUCCAUUCUGUCUCAUUGCACCUGCCCACCUAUAAAUAUACGUAUUUUUUUAAUUCUGCCCUUUCUCCCAUGCCAUCGCAUCACGCUCAUACAUUCUGUCAUUUGGUCAGUCUGCUGCGCUUUGUAUACCUUGCUUUUGCCUGCCCUAAACUUGAAUGGCCCAAGGACGUUAGCCCGGAGGAGAGCCUGAUUACUGCGGGGAUGCUGCCCUCUGCAGGCCACUGCCAUGCAUGGCCCUUUAAGAGGGAAGCCUGACCAGAAUUCAGGCAGGUAACAACAGCUACUAUGUUUUGACUCUUUUACAUGGAUUAUGUCAUUUAAUUCUCACAACAGCCCCAUGAGAUUAAGAACUACUAUGCCUUCUGUUUAUCAGAGGAGAAUACUGAAUUCCAAAGAACGGUAACUUGUCCAAGACCACACAGCUAACAAGCAGCAGAAAUGAGAUUCGAACCCAAGUGCCCUGUGCCCGGGAUCUGUCCUGCUCGCCCCUAUUUUAUACUGACUCCAAAAAAGGGAUGUUAACUCACUUUUUAAGGAAGUGAACCAUGGCAGCCAUCU
This is a long non-coding RNA of Acinonyx jubatus (cheetah), 5820 nucleotides long. RefSeq lists it as uncharacterized. The record is from RefSeq and is a predicted model, not a curated record. The transcript is spliced from 4 exons. Lineage: Eukaryota; Metazoa; Chordata; Mammalia; Carnivora; Felidae.